RNAcentral lists this unclassified non-coding RNA (247 nucleotides) under Hevea brasiliensis (rubber tree). The record is from RNAcentral. Lineage: Eukaryota; Viridiplantae; Streptophyta; Magnoliopsida; Malpighiales; Euphorbiaceae.
GCUUGUUCAACAUUUCCUCCAUGAAUAUCAGUAAGCAUUUGAUGGUUUUGCCUCAAAAUCUCAUCUUGAUGCUCAUCACUAUCUUUGCUUCCCAUGUACACCACAUAUAACUUGGUAGAAGAGCAGAGACUAAUUUCUCCAAGAAAAACACUAACAAAUAGUAAAAAAAGAGUCUUUUUUGAAACACCCAUCUCCUAUCUUGAUGUAUAAGGCUAGUAAAAGAAUGUAUUAUCAACUACAAGAUGAA